Molecule: ribosomal RNA, 501 nt
Filed under: uncultured bacterium
Lineage: Bacteria
Description: bacterial SSU rRNA
Rfam family: Bacterial small subunit ribosomal RNA
Source: RNAcentral
GAACGAACGCUGGCGGCGUGGAUUAGGCAUGCAAGUCGAACGGAACUUCUAGCUUUUCGGAAGUUUAGUGGCGGAAGGGUGAGUAACACGUGGGUUACCUGCCCUAGGGCUCGGGAUAACCUGUCGAAAGACGGGCUAAUACCGGAUACGUCUCAUACUUUUCGAAGUAUGAGGGAAAGAUGGGGAUCCGUAAGGACCUAUCACCCUUGGAUGGGCCUGCGGCCUAUCAGCUAGUUGGUGAGGUAAUGGCUCACCAAGGCUAAGACGGGUAGCUGGUCUGAGAGGAUGGUCAGCCACACUGGGACUGAGACACUGCCCAGACACCUACGGGUGGCUGCAGUCGAGAAUCUUUCGCAAUGGGGGAAACCCUGACGACGCGACGCCGCGUGGAGGAUGAAGGUCUUCGGAUUGUAAACUCCUGUCAGCUGGGAGGAAUAAGCAACUGGCUAAUAGCCGGUUGCCGUGACAGUACCAGCAGAGGAAGCCACGGCUAACUCUGUG